GCAGUAUAUUUAUAUGGUAUUGUUAUAGAGUAGUAUACUUAUGUGGUAUUGUUAUAGGGCAGUAUAUUUAUAUGGUAUUGUUAUAGGGGCAGUAUAUUAAUAUGGUAUUGUUAUAGGGGCAGUAUAUUUAUAUGGUAUUGUUAUAGAGGCAGUAUAUUUAUAUGGUAUUGUUAUAGGGGCAGUAUAUUUAUAUGGUAUUGUUAUAGAGGCAGUAUAUUUAUAUGGUAUUGUUAUAGAGGCAGUAUAUUUAUAUGGCUUUGUUAUAGGGGCAGUAUAUUUAUAUGGUAUUGUUAUAGGGCAGU
Bufo bufo (common toad) is the source of this 302-nucleotide long non-coding RNA. RefSeq lists it as uncharacterized. The record is from RefSeq and is a predicted model, not a curated record. Lineage: Eukaryota; Metazoa; Chordata; Amphibia; Anura; Bufonidae. The transcript is spliced from 2 exons.